RNAcentral lists this ribosomal RNA (643 nucleotides) under uncultured bacterium. RNAcentral describes it as "bacterial SSU rRNA". The stretch from base 1 to 569 matches the Rfam family "Bacterial small subunit ribosomal RNA", at positions 338 to 1533 of the family's 1533-position model. The record is from RNAcentral.
CCUACGGGAGGCAGCAGUAAGGAAUAUUGGUCAAUGGACGAAAGUCUGAACCAGCCAUGCCGCGUGAAGGAUUAAGGUCCUCUGGAUUGUAAACUUCUUUUAUAGGGGACGAAAAAAGGGCAUUCUUGCUCUCUUGACGGUACCCUGUGAAUAAGCACCGGCUAACUCCGUGCCAGCAGCCGCGGUAAUACGGAGGGUGCAAGCGUUAUCCGGAUUCACUGGGUUUAAAGGGUGCGUAGGCGGGUAGGUAAGUCAGUGGUGAAAUCUCGGAGCUUAACUCCGAAACUGCCAUUGAUACUAUCUAUCUUGAAUAUUGUGGAGGUUUGCGGAAUAUGUCAUGUAGCGGUGAAAUGCAUAGAUAUGACAUAGAACACCUAUUGCGAAGGCAGCAGGCUACACAUAUAUUGACGCUGAGGCACGAAAGCGUGGGGAUCAAACAGGAUUAGAUACCCUGGUAGUCCACGCCCUAAACGAUAGAUUACUCGACAUACGUGUAUACUACUAUGUGUGUCGUGAGACGAAGACGAUUAAGUUAAGUAACCGUACCGUACGGUUAGGUUACGUCCGUUCGAGGAAGUUAGAACGUUACGAAGGAAGUUAGGACGGCGUUGAGACGNGCGACGGACGACGACGAGGGAGGAGG